AAGUCAUGAUGGCACCUACUAUAACCCACCAGUAGGUAAGCCAACCCGUAACCCAGAACAACAAGUAAUGGGUCUGAGGGUAGAAACUAAACAAGAGUAGGCAAAUAACAAUAUAAACAGGCGGAAGCAAACCAAAAACAUAUAUACAAAUAAAGAUCCCUCCCAGAACUUGGAAGUCACUAGUACAGAGCUACUAACAAAAUGAGUACAAGUCCCAAAAGUGGACAACAGAGACUGGGCUGUCUCGAAAGGUAAAAGACAAGUCUAUAUAUACAGAUGGAGACUGAAAUAGUACAAAACGUCGUGUGCUCACUCCCGUCUCCGGAUCAGUCUGCUCCAAGCUCGAUCAACGCUGGCUACUAGUGCCCGGACC
RNAcentral lists this long non-coding RNA (373 nucleotides) under Solanum tuberosum (potato). RNAcentral describes it as "long non-coding RNA (STUB_LNC001972)". Lineage: Eukaryota; Viridiplantae; Streptophyta; Magnoliopsida; Solanales; Solanaceae. The record is from RNAcentral.